UCCCCGUUACCGGGGCAGUCUAGCUAGAGAAAUUCAACUAACUAUAAGGGUUGCGCUCGUUAAUGGACUUAACCAAACAUCUCACGACACGAGCUGACGACGGCCAUGCAUCACCUGUCACUACGGCCCGAAGGCACAGUUUCCUUUCGGAAACCUUGGUAGGAUGUCAAACCUGGGUAAGGUUCUUCGCUUAUCGUCGAAUUAAACAACACGCUCCACCGCUUGUGCGGGUCCCCGUCAAUUCCUUUAUGUUUUAAGCUUGCGCUCGUACUCCACAGGCGGGAUGCUUAACGCGUUAGCUUCGCUACUAGAAGGGUCGAUACUCCUAACAGCUAGCAUCCAUAGUUUACGGCGUGGACUAC
RNAcentral lists this unclassified non-coding RNA (362 nucleotides) under uncultured bacterium. RNAcentral describes it as "contains 16S-23S intergenic spacer region". The record is from RNAcentral.